RNAcentral lists this ribosomal RNA (497 nucleotides) under uncultured bacterium. RNAcentral describes it as "partial 16S ribosomal RNA". It matches the Rfam family "Bacterial small subunit ribosomal RNA", at positions 28 to 507 of the family's 1533-position model. The record is from RNAcentral.
GAUGAACGCUGGCGGCGUGCCUAAUACAUGCAAGUCGAGCGAACAGAUGAGGAGCUUGCUCCUCUGACGUUAGCGGCGGACGGGUGAGUAACACGUGUAUAACCUACCUAUAAGACUGGGAUAACUACGGGAAACCGGAGCUAAUACCGGAUAAUAUACUGAACCGCAUGGGUCAAUAGUGAAAGACGGUUUUGCUGUCUCUUCUAGAGGGAUCCGCGCCGCAUUAGCUAGUUGGUAAGGUAACGGCUUACCAGGGCAACGAUGCGUGGCCGACCGGGGUGGGUGAUCGGCCACACUGGAGCUUGGACGCGGUCCAGAGUCCUACGGGACGCAGCAGUAGGGUAUGGUCCGCAGUGGGCGGAAGCAUGACGGAGCAGCGCGGCGUGUGUGGUGAAGGUCUUCGGAUCGUGAAGCUGUGUUAUUAGGGGAGAACAGAUGUGUAAGUAGCUGUGCACGUCUUGACGGUACCUGAUCAGAAAGCCACGGCUAACUACGUG